UACGUACUAAUUUAUUGGUUUCUUCCUUCUGACGAACCAUGAUGUCAUUAAUUUGGUGUCUUGGGGAAUCAGGACUGUUACUUUGAAAAAAUUAGAGUGUUUAAAGCAGGCUCACGCUUGAAUACAUUAGCAUGGAAUAAUGAAAUAGGACGUUUGAUUCUAUUUUGUUGGUUUCUAGGAUCGACGUAAUGAUUAAUAGGGAUAGUUGGGGGCAUUAGUAUUCAAUUGUCAGAGGUGAAAUUCUUGGAUUUAUUGAAGACUAACUACUGCGAAAGCAUUUGCCAAGGACGUUUUCAUUAAUCAAGAACGAAAGUUAGGGGAUCGAAGACGAUCAGAUACCGUCGUAGUCUUAACCAUAAACUAUGCCGACUAGGGAUCGGAUGAUGUUAAUUUUUUAAUGACUCAUUCGGCGCCUUACG
Molecule: ribosomal RNA, 419 nt
Filed under: uncultured Glomeromycotina
Lineage: Eukaryota; Fungi; Glomeromycota
Description: SSU rRNA
Rfam family: Eukaryotic small subunit ribosomal RNA
Source: RNAcentral